RNAcentral lists this ribosomal RNA (338 nucleotides) under uncultured bacterium. RNAcentral's name for it is "bacterial SSU rRNA". It matches the Rfam family "Bacterial small subunit ribosomal RNA", at positions 1 to 334 of the family's 1533-position model. The record is from RNAcentral.
CUGUACAGUUCAGAGUUUGAUCCUGGCUCAGGACGAACGCUGGCGGCGUGCCUAACACAUGCAAGUCGAACGGAUGUAUUUCUUCGGUAGAUACGUUAGUGGCGAACGGGUGAGUAACGCGUGAGAAACCUGCCUUUCAGUGGGGGACAACAGUUGGAAACGACUGCUAAUACCGCAUAAUGUUAUUUGAGGGCAUCCUCGGAUAACCAAAGCUUAAUGUGCUGAAAGAUGGUCUCGCGUCUGAUUAGCUAGUUGGUGAGGUAACGGCUCACCAAGGCGACGAUCAGUAGCCGGCCUGAGAGGAUGAACGGCCACAUUGGGACUGAGAUACGGCCCAG